AGUGAACGCUGGCGGUAGGCCUAACACAUGCAAGUCGAACGGCAGCACAGUAAGAGCUUGCUCUUACGGGUGGCGAGUGGCGGACGGGGGAGGAAUACAUCGGAAUCUACUUUUUCGUGGGGGAUAACGUAGGGAAACUUACGCUAAUACCGCAUACGACCUACGGGUGAAAGCAGGGGAUCUUCGGACCUUGCGCGAUUGAAUGAGCCGAUGUCGGAUUAGCUAGUUGGCGGGGUAAAGGCCCACCAAGGCGACGAUCCGUAGCUGGUCUGAGAGGAUGAUCAGCCACACUGGAACUGAGACGCGGUCCAGACUCCUACGGGAGGCAGCAGUGGGGAAUAUUGGACAAUGGGCGCAAGCCUGAUCCAGCCAUACCGCGUGGGUGAAGAAGGCCUUCGGGUUGUAAAGCCCUUUUGUUGGGAAAGAAAAGCAGCAGGUUAAUACCCCGCUGUUCUGACGGUACCCAAAGAAUAAGCACCGGCUAACUUCGUG
This 492-nucleotide ribosomal RNA is filed under the name uncultured bacterium. RNAcentral's name for it is "partial 16S ribosomal RNA". It matches the Rfam family "Bacterial small subunit ribosomal RNA", at positions 29 to 507 of the family's 1533-position model. The record is from RNAcentral.